GAUCCUGGCUCAGGACGAACGCUGGCGGCGUGCCUAACACAUGCAAGUCGAACGGAGAAUUUUAUUUCGGUAGAAUUCUUAGUGGCGAACGGGUGAGUAACGCGUAGGCAACCUACCCUUUAGACGGGGGACAACAUUCCGAAAGGAGUGCUAAUACCGGAUGUGAUCAUCGUGCCGCAUGGCAGGAUGAAGAAAGAAUGGCCGUCCUACAAGUAAAGCUAUCGCUAAAGGAAUGGGCCGUGCGGU
This 246-nucleotide ribosomal RNA is filed under the name uncultured bacterium. RNAcentral describes it as "partial 16S ribosomal RNA". It matches the Rfam family "Bacterial small subunit ribosomal RNA", at positions 15 to 239 of the family's 1533-position model. The record is from RNAcentral.